This 275-nucleotide ribosomal RNA is filed under the name uncultured archaeon. Its description in RNAcentral is "partial 16S ribosomal RNA". It matches the Rfam family "Archaeal small subunit ribosomal RNA", at positions 320 to 597 of the family's 1478-position model. The record is from RNAcentral.
GCCCUACGGGGCGCAGCAGGCGCGAAACCUCUGCAAUGCGGGAAACCGUGACAGGGGGAUUCCAAGUGCUCAUGCAUUGCAUGGGCUGUUCUUUGGUCUAAGUAACCAGAGGAGUAAGGGCUGGGCAAGACCGGUGCCAGCCGCCGCGGUAAUACCGGCAGCUCGAGUGGUAGCCGCGAUUAUUGGGCCUAAAACGUUCGUAGCCGGAUAAGUAAGUCUUUGGUUAAAUCCUACGACUUAACCGUGGGAAAUCUAGAGAUACUGCUUGUCUGAGA